CAAGUCGAACGAGAAAGUGGAGCAAUCCAUGAGUAAAGUGGCGCACGGGUGAGUAACACGUGACUAACCUACCCAGGAGUGGGGGAUAACUGAGGGAAACCUUAGCUAAUACCGCAUAACACCUACGGGUCAAAGGAGCAAUUCGCUUCUGGAGGGGGUCGCGGCCGAUUAGCUAGUUGGCAGGGUAAUGGCCUACCAAGACGAUGAUCGGUAUCCGGCCUGAGAGGGCGCACGGACACACUGGAACUGAAACACGGUCCAGACUCCUACGGGAGGCAGCAGUGGGGAAUUUUGCGCAAUGGGGGAAACCCUGACGCAGCAACGCCGCGUGGAGGAUGAAGUCCUUCGGGACGUAAACUCCUUUCGAUCGGGACGAUUAUGACGGUACCGGAAGAAGAAGCCCCGGCUAACUUCGUGCCAGCAGCCGCGGUAAUACGAGGGGGGCAAGCGUUGUUCGGAAUUAUUGGGCGUAAAGGGUGCGUAGGCGGUUUGGUAA
This 496-nucleotide ribosomal RNA is filed under the name uncultured Acidobacteriaceae bacterium. RNAcentral's name for it is "bacterial SSU rRNA". It matches the Rfam family "Bacterial small subunit ribosomal RNA", at positions 58 to 586 of the family's 1533-position model. The record is from RNAcentral. Lineage: Bacteria; Pseudomonadati; Acidobacteriota; Terriglobia; Terriglobales; Acidobacteriaceae.